Culex pipiens pallens (northern house mosquito) is the source of this 1262-nucleotide long non-coding RNA. RefSeq lists it as uncharacterized. Lineage: Eukaryota; Metazoa; Arthropoda; Insecta; Diptera; Culicidae. The transcript has 2 exons. The record is from RefSeq and is a predicted model, not a curated record.
UUCAAUUGAAUUAAAGAACACAGCUUUAAAAUGCAAUUUGCUCUCGAUCUGAUUGUAACUGAUAGCGAACGUGGGCCGGUCAAUUUCAAUUUCACACCAUAUUAAAUUAGCCACAAGCUAUACACGUCCAAACAACUGUACCGAGAGUUAAUACGAUAGAGCUUUUAUGUAUGUUGUCAAAUGAAAUGGUAAUUUAAUCAGUUGCUUGGAGUGUUCUAAUUUAAGUUUUUUUUUUUGUAAAAGUGAGUUAUGAUGAAGCUUACUUUUUCAAACCCAUAAACAUGAGAAAAUUUUGAAUAUAGACAUCAAUAAAUUAUUCAAACAAAAUGUAUGUGUCAUAAUGCGAUAAUGCGAUUCAAUGUUAUUUUCAGUAUCGGUCCAGAAUCUCAUCCAAAAUCAUAACUUCAGGCUAACGACAUCAGAGGAUAGCAUUACAAUCAUUUUACAAGAAUUAAUUUCAGCGCCUCAAUCCAGGAUAACAAAACCAUUCCCGCACACAAACUCAGCAGGCGAACGCGCACGCACGCACACAGCUCAAAGCAAGGGUGCUGAAAAUCGGAUCAACUAUCACUCAUUUGGCAGUCACUCACUAUUAAUUCAAUUUCUCUCUCAGAGCUGUUGACCUCGCGAAUGAACGUGAGUUUGACAGAUGGAAGAGUGAUGGCGAAUGAAUUAGACGUGAGCCGUGAGUCAACCGAUUUGUUUACAAUCCAUUCGCUCACUUUUCCAAUCAACGAAUGAGUGAUUUCAACUGACUCGCUGUUACAAUUCAAUCAUUCACUACUCGAAUAUUUUGUGUCGAAGAUUGGUUCGUCUAAUCGAAAUUGUCACGGUAGAAACAAAUUAAAAUUCUUGAAAUUAACUGUGCCGUCGAAAGUCAUUCAUCUGGAUUCUUUUUUGCAUGACAAAGAACAAAGAACAUUAUGGAAUUUAAUGUCCCAAUUAGGACGAGCACCGAUGGCAGCAGAACCACCACCGAGAGCAGCGAAUUCACGGCCGAUUCCUCCAGCAGAGGCAGAAGCGAUUCUGUCUUCCGAGACGAAUCAAAUGGCACAAAUUAUCCGAGUGGAAACAUUUAGAUGAAAGCCACCUGUACGUGUUGCUGGGGGAACUGCCGCGGCACUUUGACCGUCUUGCUCUCCCCGGCGAACUACCGCAAUAGCGCAAAAACCUUGUCCAAAGUGCUUUGGGCGCUGUGUAUUAAUGAAGAUUUGUUGAUACGGUUCUAAAUUUAGUCAUUAAUAAAGUAACUUACUAAGUAG